UACGAAGGGGGCUAGCGUUGCUCGGAAUCACUGGGCGUAAAGCGCACGUAGGCGGAUCUUUAAGUCAGGGGUGAAAUCCUGGAGCUCAACUCCAGAACUGCCUUUGAUACUGGGGAUCUCGAGUCCGGAAGAGGUGAGUGGAACUGCGAGUGUAGAGGUGAAAUUCGUAGAUAUUCGCAAGAACACCAGUGGCGAAGGCGGCUCACUGGUCCGGUACUGACGCUGAGGUGCGAAAGCGUGGGGAGCAAACAGG
This 253-nucleotide ribosomal RNA is filed under the name uncultured bacterium. RNAcentral's name for it is "partial 16S ribosomal RNA". It matches the Rfam family "Bacterial small subunit ribosomal RNA", at positions 524 to 776 of the family's 1533-position model. The record is from RNAcentral.